RNAcentral lists this transfer RNA (70 nucleotides) under Mauremys mutica (yellowpond turtle). RNAcentral describes it as "tRNA-Pro". It matches the Rfam family "tRNA". Rfam says of the family: Transfer RNA (tRNA) molecules are approximately 80 nucleotides in length. Their secondary structure includes four short double-helical elements and three loops (D, anti-codon, and T loops). Lineage: Eukaryota; Metazoa; Chordata; Testudines; Geoemydidae. The record is from RNAcentral.
CAAAAGGUAGUUUAAUAAAAGAUUCCGGUUUUGGGGGCCGGGGAUGAAGGCUUAGAUCCUUCUCUUUUGA